CUGCAGGAGGUGUCUUGCAUCAAUUAAAAGACUAUACAAUGAUAUGAUAUGAAGAUAACAUUUGGUCUUGCCUUACACAAUGGUGAGAUAAGGAUGAUAACAAUGAUAUUUUAACGUUAUUGUUACCAACUUUCCACAGUAGCCCAAGAUAGAAAGUUCAGUCAAGGGACAUUCUAAAAUGCUUAACAUGAUAAAGCUUAAUGUGGCUUAAUGUUUCAAAACUGCGAUCAAUGAUCACCAAAUCUCUCUCGGACAACUCUUGUCAGAGACACUUUCACGUAUCAAAAAAUCAAAACAGAAAUCCUAGGAGUAUGGUUGUUAUCUCAUGUUAACCGUUUUCCUCUCCAUUGACGCCCAUUAUAAAGAAAAGGCUUAACAAAACAGCAAUCAGUGAUCACCAAGUGAUCACCAAAUGAUCUCUCUUUCUCUCACAGGUACAGCCUUCCUCUCUGCAUCAUAUGACUGGACUUUUCUCCUGUGGCAUAACAGCCUGAUCGAGUGUAAGCCAACAAAAAACAGGACUGAUUGUCUGUUUUUUUUUGGCUUACACUCUUCAACUAAGGAGUGAAUCCACAUCCUGGCCUUUGUAUGGCUGUCAACUGACCCUUGUGAGCUGCUGAUGACUGCACAGGCAUACACAAUGGCAAAAACACCACAGUCAUAAACACUGGCUUGUUGUGGGACAAUUAUGACAUCUGUGACUGUCCAAUCAGACACCUGAAAAUCUUCUCCAGCUGCUGUGUACAUGCAUGCCACAACUUUCAGGAGAGUUGAGCUUGCAGUUUUAAAACUGUGGAUAUUUUCCUGAUGUUAGAAGAUAUAGGAAAUCCUUGAAAUCUUUGAAGUGCACUUCAAUUAGAAUUUUUAAGAUGGGAGAGAGCUCAUAACAAGAGACAUGUGAGAGCAAUUUGGUGAUCUUUGAUUGUAGUUUUGGGACAUUAAGCCACAUUAAGCUUUUUCGUUAUAAUGGGCGUCAAUGGAGCAAAAACAUUUAACAUACAUAAACUUAGGUUAACUUAACAACCAUAUUCCUUGGAUUUCUAUUUUGAUUUUUCAAGAGAAGAUUGUGUUUAUGACAAGAGAUGUGUUAGAGAAAUUUGGUCUUCUUUGAUUGUACUUUUGGUGUAUUAAGCUAGGUAGCUUUGCCCUUUCCCUUUGGGCAGCAAUGGAGAGGGCAACACUCAACAUAACAUAGGCCUAACUACCAUAUUCCUUGGAUUUUAGUUUUACUUUUUUGAUAGGAGAUGAUGUUUAUGACAUGUGAGAUGUCAGACAAAUUUGAUGAUCAUUGGACGCUAUUUUGGGGCAUUAAGCCACGUUAAGCCUUUUCCUUUUAAUGGGUGUCAACGGAGAGGAAAAUGCUUAAUGUUAGAUAACGUCCAUACUCAUAGGAUUUCGGUUUUGAUUUUUUGACAGGUGGAAGUGUUUAUGACAAGACAUGUCUGAGAGAAAUUUGGUGAUUAUUGGACGCUGUUUUGGAACAUUAAGCUACAUUAAGCCUUUUCACAUUAAAUGUUUUAGAAGGUCCAUUCAGUCAACAAAGUGUUUUUUUUCACUAAGUAUUCUUAUUGUUUAGAUAUAGUGGCUGGGUUUUUUUGUAAACUCGGUGCUGACUGCUAGUGCUAGCUGGUUCCAGGUAGUUUGAAUGUUUGUUGUUAAGAUGAUGCAGGAUGAAACUAGUAUUGUUAUGAUAUUUCAGUCAUCUUUCAUAAUUUGCAGGUUGUUUGGGAGCGAUUUUCUAUUUUAUUAUGGAACUUGCAAACAAUUUAUUUAACCUUUUCUGCUGUUGCCAUCCUUCCUCUUGUUUACCAAGGGCUCUAACUGGAAACUGAGUGCACGUGAGAUCUACAAUUAACAAGUACUAGAUGUUAAUGUAGAAACUCGAGAAUUGAUGUAACUGCUUGAGAACUUGAAUGCUCGAGUACUCUGUAAAACCCCUAAUAUAUAUAUAUUUCUCUUCUCUGCACUAAACCAUGUGGAGAGCUGUUUUCUGAUGAAGACAUGAAGGGAGCAACUGAGAAAAGAGGAACAAUGUGAGGAAGACAAGAAGACAGGAGAGUCUUGGCAAGAAAUGAGAUGAGAAGUCAAAAGGUGAAAACUGUCCACAGAGGGUCAGCGGCUAUUGAAUUCAUCAGUCUGGAAAAGGUCAAAUCAAUCUAUUAAAGUUCCAACCAUCCCCAAAGAUCUUUAACUGCCUAUGGUGGAGAGAUAAACUCUGAAUGUUGUGUGGAAUGAAA
Chanos chanos (milkfish) is the source of this 2237-nucleotide long non-coding RNA. RefSeq lists it as uncharacterized. The transcript is spliced from 2 exons. The record is from RefSeq and is a predicted model, not a curated record. NCBI's taxonomy places the organism in Eukaryota, Metazoa, Chordata, Actinopteri, Gonorynchiformes, Chanidae.